CUACGGGAGGCAGCAGUGGGGAAUAUUGCACAAUGGGCGCAAGCCUGAUGCAGCCAUGCCGCGUGUAUGAAGAAGGCCUUCGGGUUGUAAAGUACUUUCAGCGGGGAGGAAGGGAGUAAAGUUAAUACCUUUGCUCAUUGACGUUACCCGCAGAAGAAGCACCGGCUAACUCCGUGCCAGCAGCCGCGGUAAUACGGAGGGUGCAAGCGUUAAUCAGAAUUACUGGGCGUAAGGCGCACGCAGGCGGUUUGUUAAGUCAGAUGUGAAAUCCCCGGGCUCAACCUGGGAACUGCAUCUGAUACUGGCAAGCUUGAGUCUCGUAGAGGGGGGUAGAAUUCCAGGUGUAGCGGUGAAAUGCGUAGAGAUCUGGAGGAAUACCGGUGGCGAAGGCGGCCCCCUGGACGAAGACUGACGCUCAGGUGCGAAAGCGUGGGGAGCAAACAGGAUUAGAUACCCGCGUAGUC
Molecule: ribosomal RNA, 464 nt
Filed under: uncultured bacterium
Lineage: Bacteria
Description: partial 16S ribosomal RNA
Rfam family: Bacterial small subunit ribosomal RNA
Source: RNAcentral